CUGUGUGACGCAGACUACCAUAUACAUGAAUGUUUAAAGAUCUGUGGAAAAAAAGCUGGAAAAUGUUAAAAAGAGAGCAGUUACUCCACUUAAGGGAACUCCAAAACGUAGACGGAUGUCAAUAGCUGAAAACCUUAUCUGCAGCACAGAAAAGUUAAAGUCGGCCACGUAGACGACACCAAAGAGAAUACCGGUUUUUGAAAAUUUGGUGUCCAGUAUAGAAAAGCUGAAAUUAGUGUGAAAGCCCAGAAAGAAUUGAGCUAAUAGUUGAAGGACAGAGAGUCAGCCUCCCUGUAGAAAAUGGAAAAGUUUCACUUAUAUUUCAGCAGCAAACUGGACAAACAAGAAUCGAAAUACCAACAAAAGUGUUAGAAGAAAAGGAGACCAUACAAAUUCCAGUUGGAAACUUGUUAAUUAAUGAACUUGUUAAUUAAUGUAAAACUUGUGAAGCCAGAUGACUUAAAGAAUUAUGUUAUGAACCUUCUGCAGCACUACUUCAUCAUUUUGAACUUGAAAGAUGCUGUGAAAGAAGGAGAUGUCUUCAGGAUUAACAACUGCCUCAAGAUGAUGAUCCCUUCUUCUAUAAUCACUCCCCACUAUCCAAGUACAUGGUCGAGUGUUUAGAUUAUAUAUUAAAAACCGAAGUUAUGUUGCCACCAAAACUUGCAAUUCAGGUCCGAGCAGCAGCAUGUGUUAAUCCAAAAGAAGCAAAAGCAAAAAACAAGGCUGCAUAUAUGCAAAAGGAAAAUCAAGUGAAGGAGAUGAAAGAACUAAUUAAAGGUCUUGGUUCUAACAAAAACGAACACUCAAUUGAAACCAUUUUAAAAGCUUAUCCAGUUGUUAAUGAUAUUGUCUCACAUAUUGAUUUACAAAUCAGUUACAAGGAAGUGAAGUCUUCACACAAGAGUAGAAGUGAAAAUGAGGAUUUGAGCUGCAUGUUGAAACAUCUGAGAAAUUUGAAGCCAUUUUGUCAAGUAAGUGGACGGACUUUGGAUGGCUAUUUUUCCAUUAAAACAAGUGCAUUUAAAGAACUGUUGCCACAUAAAGCUUUGCUCAAAGAAAAAGUAAUGCAUACCAUAAAUUGUAUGAAGCGUGGUAUACCUAUGCCUGCGGAUGAAAAUGAAGAAAAUGUAGAGGACAUUGUUGAUCCACAGUGACAUUAAAUAAGGGAGUAUACCACUAUAAUUAUACUCAUGAACUGGAAUGAUCUUGUUAAAAGAAACACUUAUGAAUUCACGAAAACAGUCUUAAUGAAAACAAAGCCAUGAACAGUUUUAUUUGGUUUAUUUACUUAUUACACAAUUGUUAAAAGGGGAAAUGGAAUAUUGUUUUUCUAUUUACUAUAACAAACAACACACAUAACGCUGCUCUUAACCUGUAUACAUUGUAUUUAUCAAUUAAGUUGAGUGUUAAGGUCUUCGAACAUUCUCCACACCGUUGAUGGA
Dreissena polymorpha is the source of this 1445-nucleotide long non-coding RNA. RefSeq lists it as uncharacterized. The record is from RefSeq and is a predicted model, not a curated record. The transcript has 3 exons. NCBI's taxonomy places the organism in Eukaryota, Metazoa, Mollusca, Bivalvia, Myida, Dreissenidae.